Molecule: ribosomal RNA, 253 nt
Filed under: uncultured bacterium
Lineage: Bacteria
Description: partial 16S ribosomal RNA
Rfam family: Bacterial small subunit ribosomal RNA
Source: RNAcentral
AACGUAGGAGACAAACGUUAUCCGGAGUUACUGGGCGUAAAGGGCGUGUAGGUGGUUUUGUAAGUCUGGCGUGAAAUUUUUCGGCUUAACCGGGAAAGGUCGUCGGAUACUGCAAGGCUAGAGGACGGUAGAGGCGUGUGGAAUUCCGGGUGUAGUGGUGAAAUGCGUAGAGAUCCGGAGGAACACCAGUGGCGAAGGCAGCUCGCUGGGACGUGACUGACGCUGAGACGCGAAAGCGUGGGGAGCAAACAGG